Molecule: ribosomal RNA, 520 nt
Filed under: uncultured Glomus
Lineage: Eukaryota; Fungi; Glomeromycota; Glomeromycetes; Glomerales; Glomeraceae
Description: SSU rRNA
Rfam family: Eukaryotic small subunit ribosomal RNA
Source: RNAcentral
AGCAGCCGCGGUAAUUCCAGCUCCAAUAGCGUAUAUUAAAGUUGUUGCAGUUAAAAAGCUCGUAGUUGAAUUUCGGAAUCAAUUUAUUGGUCGUGCAAUAGUACGUACUGGUUUUAUUGGUUCCUCCCUUCUGAUGAACCAUGAUGUCAUUAAUUUGGUGUUAUGGGGAAUCAGGACUGUUACUUUGGAAAAAUUAGAGUGUUUAAAGCAGGCUCACGCUUGAAUACAUUAGCAUGGAAUAAUGAAAUAGGACGUUUGAUUCUAUUUUGUUGGUUUCUAGGAUCGACGUAAUGAUUAAUAGGGAUAGUUGGGGGCAUCAGUAUUCAAUUGUCAGAGGUGAAAUUCUUGGAUUUAUUGAAGACUAACUACUGCGAAAGCAUUUGCCAAGGAUGUUUUCAUUAAUCAAGAACGAAAGUUAGGGGAUCGAAGACGAUCAGAUACCGUCGUAGUCUUAACCAUAAACUAUGCCGGCUAGGGAUCGGAUGAUGUUAAUUUUUAAUGACUCAUUCGGCACCUUAAC